RNAcentral lists this transfer RNA (74 nucleotides) under Patescibacteria group bacterium. Its description in RNAcentral is "tRNA-Gly". It matches the Rfam family "tRNA". Rfam says of the family: Transfer RNA (tRNA) molecules are approximately 80 nucleotides in length. The record is from RNAcentral.
GCGGUUAUAUCUCAAUGGUAGAGAAUCGCAUUGCCAGUGCGAGAAUGAGAGUUCGAUUCUCUCUAGCCGCUCCA